AUUGCUUGAGGUGGUAAAAUUCGUUGCAACCAUGCGCCCUUUGGGCUAAAAGAGAUGUAGGAGAGGCGACGCCUACCAAGCAAU
Molecule: non-coding RNA, 84 nt
Submitted as: unclassified sequences
Source: Rfam